This 355-nucleotide ribosomal RNA is filed under the name uncultured bacterium. RNAcentral describes it as "partial 16S ribosomal RNA". It matches the Rfam family "Bacterial small subunit ribosomal RNA", at positions 338 to 690 of the family's 1533-position model. The record is from RNAcentral.
CCUACGGGGGGCUGCAGUGAGGAAUAUUGGGCAAUGGACGAGAGUCUGAACCAGCCAAGUAGCGUGAAGGAUGAAGGCCCUAUGGGUUGUAAACUUCUUUUAUAUGGGAAUAAAAUGUUACACGUGGGGGAUUUUGUAUGUACCAUAUGAAUAAGGAUCGGCUAACUCCGUGCCAGCAGCCGCGGUCAUACGGAGGAUCCGAGCGUUAUCCGGAUUUAUUGGGGUUAAAGGGAGCGUAGGUGGAUUGUGAAGUCAGUUGUGAAAGUUUGCGGCUCAACCGUAAAAUUGCAGUUGAAACUGGCAGUCUUGCGUACAGUAGAGGUGGGCGGCAUUCGUGGUGUAGCGGUGAUAUGCU